CGAGAGCGCGGAUAGAAAACCGAACGGCGCCGCACGCAGCCUUCGAGGCGGAGGCAGUUCUGGAAGUGACGUCACACGCAACCCAACAUGGCCGACGUUAAACAACGUAAACAUAGUCGCGAGUACGAGGGCACGGAUGCUGGAAAUUCGGGAGAUCGAGAGAGGAUAGAGAGGCUCUCGAUGGAGGAACCGGAGGUUCGGGAUGGACGGGAAGUGGGCAAACCCGUCCAGGUGGUACUUGCCCAUCCUGACCAUACUUUCGAGCUCGACGAAGACGCCCUGGAGGAGAUCCUCGUCCAGGACGAUAUCAAGGACCGAAGCGUCGUCGUCGUUUCCGUUGCCGGAGCCUUUAGAAAGGGCAAGAGCUUCCUGCUCGACUUCUUCCUUCGCUACAUGAACACCAGGUAUAAUCUCAAUAUUGAAACGAACUCGUGGCUGGGGGCGGACGAAGAUCCCUUGGAUGGUUUUUCGUGGAGGGGAGGAUCCGAGCGCGAUACUACGGGGAUUUUAAUGUGGUCGAAAGUGUUCAAGGGGACGCUUCCCAGCGGUGAGAAGGUUGCCAUUAUACUGAUGGACACUCAGGGAGCGUUCGACAGUCAAUCGACGGUCAGAGAUUGCGCAACGGUAUUCGCCUUGAGCACCAUGCUGUCUUCGGUACAAAUAUACAAUCUAUCGCAAAAUAUCCAGGAGGAUGAUCUUCAGCAUUUACAACUGUUCACCGAGUACGGUAGAUUGGCUUUGGAAAAGUCAGGCAGUGUACCAUUCCAGAGAUUACAGUUCUUGGUGAGGGAUUGGAGUUUCCCUUACGAGGCUGACUAUGGGGCUGAAGGGGGCAAAAAGAUACUCCAGAGAAGACUGGAGAUAUCGAGCAGGCAACAUCCCGAGUUGCAGAGCUUGAGGAGACACAUUAAAUCCUGUUUCUCAGACAUAUCAUGCUUCCUUAUGCCUCAUCCCGGACUAAAAGUUGCCACAAAUCCAAAUUUCGACGGUAGAUUGGCGGAAAUUGAAUCUGAGUUUAAAGUUCAACUGAAGACGUUAGUGCCGAUGCUACUUGCUCCGGAAAAUUUAGUUACGAAAAAAAUUGACGGUCAAGUCGUCAAAGCUAGAGACCUGUUAGAGUAUUUCAAGAGUUACAUUAAAAUUUACAGAGGAGACGAGCUUCCCGAACCGAAGAGUAUGCUUGUGGCAACAGCUGAGGCGAACAACUUGUCCGCGGUAGCCGAGGCGAAAGAUCUGUACUCGCAGAUGAUGGAAAAUGUCUGCGGGGGUGCCAAACCAUUUUUGGCAACAGCUCACCUAGAGUCGGAGCACCAAAGGUGCGUCGACAGAGCGCUCUAUCAAUUCUCGAAUAAACGAAAAAUGGGGGGCGACGAGUUCAGCCAAACUUACAUGGAAAAAUUACAAAAGGACAUGGAUGACUCGUUUCAACAAUUCAAGGCGCACAAUGAAAGUAAAAAUAUUUUCAAGGCAGCUCGAACACCGGCAGUGUUUUUCGCCAUUGCCGUAACAAUGUACAUCCUCUCCGGACUAUGCGGCUUGGUUGGUCUCUACACCAUUGCAAAUAUUUGUAAUCUUGUUAUGGGCAUUGGACUCUUGACGCUGGUGCUGUGGGCCUACAUCAGAUACAGUGGAGAGCUUCGAGAGCUCGGAACACAAAUAGAUGAAUUAGCAAGUGCCAUUUGGGAAAAUGCCUGGCUAUGUGUACACCUCAUUCACAGGUUGCGAUACAUAAUCCUUUCCGUAUUUUUUGUUUUUAUAUGCUCCAUCCCUUCCGUCGCCCUCAUUCGUAGUUAUCUUCGCAAGCAUCGCAAAGUCUGAUCCCACGCUUCCUUUUUCAUUCGCUAUCUAUUCAAAGUUUAUGUCGCUCUCGAAUGAAACUCUCGCCAUUGAUUUACAAUGCUUUAAACGUAGGUUACGAUGCUAUUUAUAACCCGUUUUUACUUAUGUUUCGCAAACUUGUAUAAAUUAUGUUUAUCCUAGCCUUUUAUGCCUGCAUUUUCGUUGAUGAUUUAUUAUCGUAUUAUAAUUAUUUAUCCCCGACACUAACACGCGCGCCAUCCUUCGAAUGGAAUCAACGAUUAGGAAAGUUCAUGAAACCGCUUUAUCAACAGUUCGUGGAGAAGUCGGUGUCCGUAGCUGUCGCGCAGGCUGCUGAGAUGGCUACAAAUUCGACGUUAAGUGCCAACGGCAAGCCUAAAAUAUCGUAACUUUCAUUCCCUUAAUUAUGUUUCGCCCGGUAGGAAAUAUAAAAAAAGAUAAAUACACAAGGCAUGAGAAGAAAAAUAUAAAGCUGCUAACGAAGCACACCGCAAUAAUGCAAUCUUACAAAAGAAGAAGGAAAAAAAAAAACUUAUUUUUGGCAUGACUAAAUUCAGAUUCGAUACAAUUAUUAUCAAACACGCUGUGAAAUUUUUAAA
RNAcentral lists this unclassified non-coding RNA (2417 nucleotides) under Neodiprion lecontei (redheaded pine sawfly). RNAcentral describes it as "atlastin, transcript variant X3". The record is from RNAcentral. Lineage: Eukaryota; Metazoa; Arthropoda; Insecta; Hymenoptera; Diprionidae.